GAUGAAGAACGUAGCGAAAUGCGAUAAGUAAUGUGAAUUGCAGAAUUCAGUGAAUCAUCGAAUCUUUGAACGCACCUUGCACCCUUUGGUAUUCCGAAGGGUAUGCUCGUUUGAGUGUCAUUGUACUCUCACACUUCUAAUUCCUUUCGGGAUUGGGAGCGGUGGACUUGGGUGUUGCUGCUUUAGUUGUGGCUCACCUCAAAUAAGUUAGUGCAACUCUUGGUUGGACAUAGUACGGCGUGAUAAGUGUCUUCGCCGGCGCCUCUGUAAGGAGGGUGGCCGAUCGGGAGCUCUGUGCUUCAAACCGUCUUCGGACAAUCUUUGACAACUUGACCUCAAAUCGAGUAGGAUUACCCGCUGAACUUAAGCAUAUCAAUAAGCGGAGGA
RNAcentral lists this unclassified non-coding RNA (387 nucleotides) under soil metagenome. Its description in RNAcentral is "partial contains 5.8S ribosomal RNA, internal transcribed spacer 2, and large subunit ribosomal RNA". The stretch from base 1 to 120 matches the Rfam family "5.8S ribosomal RNA", at positions 35 to 154 of the family's 154-position model. The record is from RNAcentral.